Non-coding RNA from Leptonychotes weddellii (Weddell seal), 7033 nucleotides. Lineage: Eukaryota; Metazoa; Chordata; Mammalia; Carnivora; Phocidae. The record is from RefSeq and is a predicted model, not a curated record.
UAUCAAUUUGCACCUAUAGGCCCUGCCCCAAGGUAGGGCCAGGGAGAAUCAGUGGUCUAGGGGUUUGUUACUGAGACAGAAUAUACAGCAGAGUUGCAUUUGGGUAUACCUAUUGUGACUUCACCUUCACCUGGAAAAUGAGCCUCCUCACCAUCUUAAGGUAACUGGUUUUCCAUUAAAAAGUGAAAUUAUUUUCUCUUUCAAUCUGUGGCUCCUCAAGAAAGCUCGUGUCAUUGUUCUUACCAGCCUUUCUCAGGGGGUCUGUGAUGUUCAUUUCUAGAUAAACUUUCUGGAGACCGGAUAAAGCAAGUCAUGGAGCACAUCUGGAAGCUGCAGGAGUUCUGUAACAGUAUGGCGAAGCUGGAUAUAGACGGCUAUGAGUAUGCAUACCUUAAAGCUAUAGUUCUCUUUAGCCCCGAUCAUCCAGGUUUGACCAGCACAAGCCAGAUUGAAAAAUUCCAAGAAAAGGCACAGAUGGAAUUGCAGGACUAUGUUCAGAAAACCUACUCAGAAGACACCUACCGAUUGGCCCGGAUUCUUGUUCGCCUGCCGGCACUCAGGCUGAUGAGCUCCAACAUAACAGAAGAACUUUUUUUCACUGGUCUCAUUGGCAAUGUGUCGAUAGACAGCAUAAUCCCCUACAUCCUCAAGAUGGAGACAGCAGAGUACAAUGGCCAGAUCACCGGAGCCAGCUUAUAGUGCGUACCGCACACCUGCAGAGAAGCAAAAGGAUCCUCCCAGGACCACUCGGAUACAGAGAAAAUAAAGUAGUGGUAUUUUGGUAUGUGCAACUAUUUCCAGUAUGUUAGCCAUUUCCUACCUGGUUUCUUCUUAUCUGUUAAUCCCAGACAAUAGCAACUAAAAGACUAGUAGGAUCCUUUCCUGCCAUAAGAAAUGUUAUAAUGCCUUUUGAUGAAGGAGAUUUUGAAACAAUCUUUUAACCCAAUUUGUAUUUAGAAAUCCUCAAAGGGCAAAAAACAGAGUUUUAUAAUGUCAGAGACUAGUAUUAAACAAAACAAAAAGAACCUAAGAGAACAGUAUGUGUGUAUAUAUAUUAAAAAUGUCCUUGGAAUUAAUAGCUACUAAUUACCAGGGUAAUAAUAUUAGCACUUUCUAAGCACUUCUUAUCAAUGCGUAAUGUUAGCAACAUCUUGCCCUUGGGCAGGACAAAUGGAAAACUGUAUAUGUCUUUUGCCGAAAUGCUAGUAAUUUCUGUGAAAACGCACUAGGGUACAGGAGACAAUCAUUUAUGUUUAAGAAAAGAUGGCAUCAUUCCUAACUGUAUGCACACACUUGUGGUGUUGAACUAAAUUCCUAUGAACGAAUGAAAAUGUGGCUCAUCUGUAUGAUGCAGUAAGCGGGAGUGUGGAGGCACAGUCGGGGGUGACCCAAACCGGAAGCUUCCUCAGCUGUGAGGGUGAUGAUGCUUGUCAGCUUCCCUGACCUCUGGUUCUGGUCUGUGACUGGCAUCUGCAGGCUCCUCCAAACCUGGGGCUCUCUUCUGAUGACUGGUUCUCAGAAUUGGAUUACAACCAGUCAGACAUUAACUGCCAAUUCCUGCAGUAACUGAAAACAUCCCCACAUCACCUCCACCACUCACGGCAGACAGAGCCUUCUGACCAAAAAGUGCAAGGUGGGCAUUUUGAACCCGACAGUAAUUCCUGAAUGCAGUCUGGGGCGCUGGCUCGUUGUUCAGACGGAGGAGUGCAAAGGUUCCCUUCUCAUGGGGUUUCCAUUCCAAACAUCCCCUCAAGAAGGGCUGUAUUCCUGCAGUUCACUCAGAACUGUGAAGGGGAUUCGGGGCCUGGGGGUGGGGGGAGGUGCAGGAUUUUGCUGCCUGGCCAGGGUGGUGGUGGUGGUGUGGCUGAAUGGAAGGUUUCUCUGUUGACCUUAACUAUCAGGGUUUUCCAAAGUGUCUCCAGACUCAGCAUUUCUGUUGGCAAUUUUUUGAAUGGUACUGGUACACCAUGCACUUUGAUUCCCCCAGGUGUGUGCCAGCAAAGAACCCUGGAGCAUUUUAGGUGAUGGAUGCAGAAGCAAGCUACCUGCUCUUAAAAAAAAAAAAAAACAACAAAAAACAAAACAAAAAAAACCUUAACUCCCAAAGUUAUCUUCUUUCUCUUAAGUUAUAGCAACCAUCGUUUACAAGAACAGAAUGCAGUUAUAAGGAAGUUCUAUCUAGAGAAGAGCACCCAUAAAUUCUCAUGGAUGCAAGCAGCGGGCAUGUCCUGCUUGGGAAAAGUGCCGUGUCCAAGACCCAGUCAGGUACUCUUCAUUUCCUUUCUGUAUAGCCCAGAUUAAGAAAAUAGCUAAAGUUAAAUCUGUGUCUCCCAUAUCUUUUGAUCAGAUGAUAUCCAGAAAGAUCCCAGUGCGCUUCCCCUGCCUCACAGGCACUCCCCAGCCUGGCUCAGGCCCUCGUCGAGGUGGGGUCUUGGGUGCUGUGUAGGUACCCAGCCUGCCGGCCGCUGCCUUAUGACAGAACAGAAUGCUCUUGAAGCAUUAGCAGCACUUUGUGAAAGUCGUUAGUGGGAAUUAAGUGUGGGGACAGUAUCUCCAACUUCUGAAUUCCUAUUUGGAUUUAAUUAUAUUAUUUAUAGUUCAUGUCUUGGAAGCAAAUUUUGGAGACAAUAGGGGAGCGCGUUAUAAAAUGAUGGAAAGAAUUUAAUUUUGCCUGCUUAUUAAAUUUUUGGUUUUCUAACUUGGAAGUGAUUUAAAUUUCAAAAUUAAGGGGAAAAAAAAAAAAACUAGCCAAGACAGUGAAGUUAGGGCAGGUCUGUUUCAUUUCUGCUCAUGAAGGAUUUUAGCAGAGGGUAUCUGCAACCGUGUUUAUGCAUCUUACACAGCAAGUUGCCUCUUUUCUGUUCUUUUGGUUUUUUAAUGUAAGCAUGUCUGUUGAUCACAUAGCUGUUCUCUGGGAUUACAUGCUAUGUCACAUCUCCCAGAUCUGAUUCUCGGUGUUGGGGAAAAGGCCCACCCCUUCUUCCUGGGGGUGGCCCUGGGAGUCUUGUGUCCAUUCGGCUUGUAGACUCAGGUGGCCUUCAGAUACUGGGACGGCUUAGCCAAGACCUCGACUGAGGUCCCAACGACGCCACUGCUGAAGGGUUUUGGGAUAGAAGUGAUAACCAGCAGAAAAACCGAACAUUUGGGUGAGUGAGUGCCACACCCUGGCAGGCCAGCCCUGGAGAAAAAUCAAUUUGGCUUAGAGGGUUGUUGAUUCUGACCUGGUCCUGGUCCUUGGGUCCCUUCACUGAUGGUGGCUGAUUGCAGUGGACCAUUUUGGGCCUUGAACAUCAUUAGUUUCCCAGAUCCUCUUGGCCUUAUUUUGAAGUAGACUUCCCUAAAGAUAUGUUCACACAAGCUGAUUUCUUGCUGCCCCAAAUCAUUUCACACUUUGACAGCAGGUCCGUCCCGUCUUGUCAGAUUGGCUAAGAGAAGCCCAAAGUCAAGAACUUAAAGGGAUCCCAAGCAAAUACUGAGGUUCAGCUUUCACAAGUCUUUUACCUCUUUUGUUAGUAGUCUGUCAAAGUCUAGAUUUAGUUAAGGAAGGCCAGCCCUCUACCCAUUGGGUCUCUGACGGAAAUAAGCCAGGAGCAGAUUCUUCACCACACAGCCUGCCCACAUGUCCCUUCUGCUGUCCUGGCUCUUCCUCCCUUGCGAGAGGAGGUGGCAGUACGCAUCGUGCUUCUUGAUGCCAGUGGUAUCUCAGAUAAUGCUAGACGGUUAGGUGUUGAAAUUGUGGAGGUCAUGACAGAGAAUCAUAAAGGACAGGAAGAGACUUAGAAAAAGUCCAAAUUACACAAGCAAAUGAUACUUUCCAGGUUAUUCCACCCUUCUAAUUUGAGAUUUGUAUGUGUGUCUGUUGGGAGGUUACCAUUAUUUAUUAUCUAACUUCUGCCAUGAGGCUGUGGUUGGGGUUCUUUGUUGUUUGGGUUUUUAUAUUUAAUGUCAGGUGUAGUCACUUGUUGUAAGAUGUUACGUAAAUGCCCUCAAGAGGGACUGCUGUCUAGCUUGUCAGUAUUAAAUGUGGACUGUGUUCUGAGGCAGUUGCCACCAGCCACGGUGAGCGCGACGGAUGCGCCUUCUCUUGGGCUCCCUGAUGCGGUGGCCACACACUCACUAGAGGACACGGUUGUGGCCGUAGUACAGACUUACUCAGUGCUUUUGCUUGUGUUGGGGAUAAUCACAGCAGGGAGCUAAGAAUCGGAAGGGCUAGAUCUAGUGCUUUUAUUCUGGACAAAAACCACAUCCUGAUCCUUUGGGGGAAUUUCUAGUAGAGCAGUCUUGCCCCCAGCCUGCCCUCUGCCUGACACGCAGCCCUUGGCUAUGGAGCCAAGUUUCAGGACCCGAUCAGAUCAGAGUCCAGAAGCUUGUAGCCCACUUGCCGGUGGAAAGGGCCUCAUGUGCAGUGGGGCUGUAGAUGACAUUUCAACUCUUCUCUAAGUCUAGGCCAUGAAAAGUCAUCUCCUGACGUUCACUUUCAUCCCGGCUAUGAAUGAACGGGGGGAUAGUGGAGCAGGCCGGGCAGAUGCCCAUAUGCUUCCUUUGUCCCACUUCCAGUUUCUAGAUUGUACGGCUCUUUGAAAUGUCUUAACUUUGAUGUAAAUUUGUAAAGCCAAGCCCUAAUCGAGAUAGACUGGGUUUGGGUCUUUUGUACACAGGGUUUUGGACAUCCUCACGUGUGCCUCCUGCCGGUGCACACUUGCGCGUGUCCAGCCCUGGGGUCCCUUCAGCGGCAUCGUGCGUGUACAGAUUUAUAGGCUUGUAUGACUGAAUGAAUGUACAUGUGUUUAUAUCUUCUAUAUAUGUACAGUGUAUAUAGUGUGUGUAUGUGUACAUAGAUGUAUAUAUUAUGUAUACAGACAUGUAGCCAUGUAUCCAAAGUUCCCUUAUGUUUUAAAGAGAGUCUAUGAUAGAGUUGCUAAAGUAAAUUGAUGUGGAUGUUCCAAGGUCCCUCAGCAGGAUGGAUUUGCUGAUAUUUUAACUCCAUUUUCCUUUGGGUGAGCCUGGCUGGGAAAGGCCAUGAAGGCAGAUACUCCACCCUAUGCCAAGGAAAGUUCCAGACAGAAAAGGUCCUGAUAGGAGGACACUGCUGUAUAUUGUAUAUUCUCUGGGUCAGACAGCGGCCAGAAAGCUAGAAAGUUGAAAACUAGGUGGGGAUCUUUCACCUGGGUGCCGCAUGCCUGUUUAUAGCCCGACUGGAAGGAACUUGGCAGUUGGAGCUGUCGGCCUUCCCAGACUUGCUCUGUCAUGUGGUCCAGAGAUCAGCCUCACGGUCAGAGAUUCGGAACGGUCCAUGUGCUGGGGCCUGCCUCCCAGGUCUCUGCUUGCUCUGGACUUAGCAAACAGCGGGCACUGCCCUGUGGCUCAACAGAUGCCCAUCUCUAAUGCCAGUUGAAAAAAACCUACCAAGUAGUCUUUUAAAAUAAGCAUAAGAUAACUUAUGGCACAGAAGUUACAAAUUUUAAAUUCUUUAACUGUAGCAUGUGAAUAAAAUCCACUGACCUAAAUCCUUUCUAUAAAUUGUUUUAAAAUUUUUAGAUAAAAAUGUUAUUUUAAUAUGGCUAUUUGUGCCCUUAAAGCUACAGAUGCCAAAUUUUUCUUGUCCAGGUCUGUUCUGAUUAAUUUUCCCCCUUAAUUGGGCUUUAAACUGAGACAUGGCACUCGGGAGCCAGGGCCCAAGCCCAGCAGAGCUGCUUACAGACCUGGGAAGUGGGGCCUGCCUGGCCAAGGGCCGCAAGCUGGCCCGCUGAAGGGAGUCCCUGGAGAACUGCAAAAACUCACAUAAUCCACAGGUUUUCUGGUUUUUUGUUGGUGGUGUUUUUUGGGUUUUUUGGGUUGGUUUGUUUGUUUUUUUUUAAAUAAGCUACUGAAAUGUUUGAAAACACUUCAUUGAGACCAUAGUACUCAGUGCCUUUUGUGAGACGGUGGGUCAUUUAGCCUUCAGCUUCCCCUCUAUUGGAUGUAAAACAAAAAAAAACAACAACUCUGCUACUUCACUGGCCUCAUCCAACAGUGCUUAUUUGACCCUUGCCCCUGUCCUUGCCUGUUGUGACAAUCACACUAUUGAAGGUGGCUUUCCAGUUAAAAUACGAGAAGAAGCUUGACAGUCUCUAAAUGAAUCUUCAAAAUAAAAAUUUUCAUUUGGGGAGGGUAUUUUAACAGCAAUCUAAGAAUAAUUAAACUUUGAACUUAAAAAGAGUAUCUUAGGGGUGGGGAAAUGCCUGAGAUAUUUUUAAGGCCCAGCUAGACUUUCAGUUCAGAAACCAAUAAUCCGGUGUCUCAAUAUUUCUACAUACAGCAUAGAAAAAAAUGCUAUAAAUAUUGGGGGAAAAAAGUUUGGCAACAUUUAUCAGCUGACAUACUGUGAUAGCUUAAUAUUUGGAUAACAUUUGGAAAUAGUAGACUUUUAUGUUACAAAUGGCUUGUCUUUAGGAACAUAUACUCAAUUACCAUUAACGACCAGAGCAUCCAUGGACUCAGAUGCUGCCGCCACAUACAACUCAAGUGCUGGAAUAUUUUUCUACAGUCUCUGUUCUCCCCAUUCUCUUGUAAACCAGUGUUCAACUAGUUUUAUAACUGAAAAGCUGCACAUUUUUCAUAGUACAAACCAUAGUUUUUACCUGUAGUUUGGACCUGUUAAUUAAAAGACAUCUGUUAAAGGAAAAUUCGGGUGUUAAUUUCUUGGGACCGUUUCUGUAACUUCUGCCCUUCAUAAUAUAGAAAAUACUGUUAUGCCGUUACAUUUUAAUUCCAGGUUUAAAACCUGUUGAAAGCUGUAGCUUGAAAUCAGCUUUGUUUAUGUGAUGGCAUUUAAAAAAGAGCAUGUUCUUUUUAAACUGAAUUUUAUAUCUAAUCAAUGUCUUCAGUCUUGAAGAAGAAUUUGCAUUGUUGUGUUUGUAUAUAGAGUAUUGCAGUGCAUGAAUUAGCUUUAUGCAUUUUAUUAAAUGCUGUUUCAAUGUGGCAUUAUCGUUGUGGCUUAAUACUACUACCUAAAUGAGGUUUAUACUAUUAAAAAAGUGAAUUAAAGACUAAA